This 404-nucleotide ribosomal RNA is filed under the name uncultured Oscillospiraceae bacterium. RNAcentral describes it as "bacterial SSU rRNA". It matches the Rfam family "Bacterial small subunit ribosomal RNA", at positions 356 to 774 of the family's 1533-position model. The record is from RNAcentral. Lineage: Bacteria; Bacillati; Bacillota; Clostridia; Eubacteriales; Oscillospiraceae.
AGGGAGUUUUCGGCAAUGGGGGAAACCCUGACCGAGCAACGCCGCGUGAAGGAUGAAGGUUUUCGGAUUGUAAACUUCUUUUGUCGGGGACGAAAAAAAUGACGGUACCUGACGAAUAAGCCACGGCUAACUACGUGCCAGCAGCCGCGGUAAUACGUAGGUGGCAAGCGUUAUCCGGAUUUACUGGGUGUAAAGGGCGAGUAGGCGGGAUCAUAAGUCAGAUGUGAAAUCUGGGGGCUCAACCCCCAAACUGCAUUUGAAACUAUGAUUCUUGAGUGAUGGAGAGGCAGGCGGAAUUCCCGGUGUAGCGGUGGAAUGCGUAGAGAUCGGGAGGAACACCAGUGGCGAAGGCGGCCUGCUGGACAUUAACUGACGCUGAGGAGCGAAAGCGUGGGGAGCAAACA